This 376-nucleotide long non-coding RNA is filed under the name Gossypium raimondii (Peruvian cotton). Its description in RNAcentral is "long non-coding RNA (GRAI_LNC000469)". The record is from RNAcentral. Lineage: Eukaryota; Viridiplantae; Streptophyta; Magnoliopsida; Malvales; Malvaceae.
UUUGUGAAAGCUCACUUUCGUUCGGACCUAGAUAAAAAAAAUUUAACAGAAAAAAUAAAUAAAACUAAAGUAAUUAAAGUCCAGAGUCUAUUUACAACAAAUUACAGGCUCAACAUUACAAGCCCAAAUGACCAAAAAUUAAAAAGAACCCUAACGGCCCAAAUGACCCAAACACCUAGACUAUUUUAGACUAAACAGAAACCCUACCCUAGCUUGCGCCGCACCCUAGCUUGAGUCGCCUCUGCCACCAUCAACUGCUCCUCAACCACCACCUGCAAAUAACAGUAGUCAAGUAGGGAUAAAAAAAAAGAAAAAGAAGAGAAAGAUUGUAAUUUGAAAACGACUAUAAAAGUCGAAUCUUUGUAAGCUUUUAAGG